This 207-nucleotide ribosomal RNA is filed under the name uncultured bacterium. RNAcentral describes it as "partial 16S ribosomal RNA". It matches the Rfam family "Bacterial small subunit ribosomal RNA", at positions 568 to 774 of the family's 1533-position model. The record is from RNAcentral.
CGCGUAGGCGGAGUGUUAAGUCAGAUGUGAAAGGUAACGGCUCAACCGUUGACAUGCAUUUGAAACUGGCACCCUUGAGUACUGGAGAGGCAAGUGGAAUUCCUAGUGUAGCGGUGAAAUGCGUAGAUAUUAGGAGGAACACCGGUGGCGAAGGCGGCUUGCUGGACAGAUACUGACGCUGAGGUGCGAAAGCGUGGGGAGCGAACA